RNAcentral lists this ribosomal RNA (237 nucleotides) under uncultured bacterium. RNAcentral's name for it is "partial 16S ribosomal RNA". It matches the Rfam family "Bacterial small subunit ribosomal RNA", at positions 524 to 758 of the family's 1533-position model. The record is from RNAcentral.
UACAGAGGUCUCAAGCGUUGUUCGGAUUCAUUGGGCGUAAAGGGUGCGUAGGCGGCGCGGUAAGUCGGGGUGUGAAAUCUCGGGGCUUAACUCCGAAACUGCAUUCGAUACUGCCGUGCUUGAGGACUGGAGAGGAGACUGGAAUUUACGGUGUAGCGGUGAAAUGCGUAGAUAUCGUAAGGAAGACCAGUGGCGAAGGCGGGGUCUCUGGACAGUUCCUGACGCUGAGGCACGAAG